ACUACUUGUCACAUACCAUAUUUGUCGCAUGCAUGUUUAAAAGUCUCGUUUUCUACACAAUUACUGCCAACAUUUUCUACUUUUGUCAUUUCUUUUUUAUUACCCUCAUUGAAAACGAGAGGUUUAUCAAGAUGGAAACAAACUUCUCUACACUUUCAAAUGUUGUUUUUGAUGUGGUAUUUACUAAAAGUAUUUGAGUCCUUUCAAGCACAGACCUGACUUUUCCUUGCUCCAACAGAAAAAGGAUACUUAAGCCAGCUGGAAGAGUUCUCAUACAAUGGAAUAUUAUUCAGCCUCAGAAAGGAAUGAAAUUCUGACACAUGCUACAACAUGGAUGAACCUUGAAGACAUUUAGCUAAGUGAAGGACCAGAAGACCAUAAAGGUUUGGGAAUAAAAAUGAAAGCCAGCACCCACAGCAAUAAAAGUCUCAAGGUCCAUCCAGUCAUAAAACCCAGGUAGGCCUCUCACUGUUGUGGCC
This is a non-coding RNA of Delphinapterus leucas (beluga whale), 479 nucleotides long. Lineage: Eukaryota; Metazoa; Chordata; Mammalia; Artiodactyla; Monodontidae. The record is from RefSeq and is a predicted model, not a curated record.